GACGGGUUAAAGAAGGAUUUUUAAGCCUUGAGACAUGGAUUGUGUAUGUGUGCCAUUCAGAGGGUGAAUGGGCAAGACAAUAUAAGUGCCUUUGAACGGGGUAUGGUAGUAUGUGCCAGGUGUACCGGUUUGAAUGUGUCAAGAAUUUUCAAGCCAACAUUGGUCUAGCAUCCCUGUGGAUCGUUUGACACCUUGUAGAGUUCAUGCCCCGACAAAUUGAGGCUGUUCUGAGGGCAAAAAGGGUGCAACUCAAUAUUAGGAAAGGUGUUCCUAAUGUUUUGUACACUCAGUGUACGUUUUCCACAAAAUUGAAAAUGAAUUCAGGUUCAAAUUGAUUUACCUGCAUCAGGAUACAUUGUUGGACCCAUCUCCUCUACAUCUAUCUCCUCCUCUUCACCACUCACUUCCUCAGUCCCUGCGUAGCCCAACGUCUGGUGGACCUCGUCAACCACAUCCAACUCCUCGCUGGAGAUCUCCAUCUCCAAAUACCCAUCCUCCAUUUUCUCCUCCACCUCUUGGAUGAUCACACUUCUCCUAUAUGCCUCCACCACGGAUCCUUUUCCUUUUUCGGUCUUCUUGUUUGUCUCUGUAGACGAGUCUGUUUCCCUCUCUCUGUUCUCCUUGGUAACCAGAUCUCUUCCUUCCUUGUUGCCUUUGUCGGUCCGUUGAGGAUCCACCAUUUCCUUUGUCCUUGUCAUCGAUAACAUUGACAAGGUAGCCAGCUCCUCUUGGAGUUCGAAAAAGUCUCCUGACGCAUCCACGUUUUCCCCGCCUAAAACGUUUUCUGUGUUCUCAAAAUGUUCUCUAUCCUCAACGUUUUCUCUUUCAGUGUCUUUGUAGAUGAGAUCUUGAUACUCCGUCUCCUGUCCACAAGUGCUGCUGUUGUGUCCUCCAUCUUUUUCCUCUGGAUGGUCGCUCUCCGUUCGGUUGGUCUGAUCGUAAUUUUCAACGGUUGGUCGAAUGGCUGACUCUCUUUCUAGAGACUGGGAAGGACUUCUGUUUUUGUUCAUCAGUCUUGAUUCAUUUUGACCGCUGUCACUUUCAUUGGGUUUCAAUAAUUUUCUUUCACUUUGUUUCUGUCCUUCAGUUUCACUUUCUUUUUCUUUUGUCUCCUUGCUUUUGGUGGACUUCCUCGUCUUUUGGUGCCUGUGCUUCAGGAGUUCUUGGAACUUCUUGAGAGACACAGUGGGUGCCCGACCCUUGGAGGGGGUCCGCUUGACAGCAGGGGGUCUCAAUUGGUCUCUGUCUGAUUCAGUCUCUCCAGAUCUUUCUGGACUGGAGUUCUGUGGCUGACCAGACGGCUGGGGUUGCAGAAUGGUUCCCGUUCCUGAACAGUUGGAAGGAACUUGCUCUUCAUGGGUACUGGGGGAAGUUGUCUGCGAGCUAGGCUUCUGAGCAACUGUUUUAGAUUUAGACAGCACAAGUAGUCUCUGGAACAACUCUGCUCUCUCUCCUUUGCCAUGUCCCUCCCUGAGCCUGACCCUUUUCCUGUACUUCUUUCGCUUGUCGUCCUUUACCUGUGGUUCCCCUCCUCCUUUUUCCUUUACCUGUGGUUCCCCUCCUCCUUUUUCCUUUACCUGUGGUUCCCCUCCUCCUUUUUCCUUUACCUGUGGUUCCCCUCCUCCUUUUUCCUUUACCUGUGGUUCCCCUCCUCCUUUUUCCUUUACCUGUGGUUCUCCUCCUCCUUUUACCUGUGGUUCCCCUCCUCCUUUUUCCUUUACCUGUGGUUCCCCUCCUCCUUUUUCCUUUACCUGUGGUUCCCCUCCUCCUUUUUCCUUUACCUGUGGUUCUCCUCCUCCUUUUACCUGUGGUUCUCCUCCUCCUUUUUCCUUUACCUGUGGUUCUCCUCCUCCUUUUACCUGUGGUUCUCCUCCUCCUUUUACCUGUGGUUCUCCUCCUCCUCCUUUCUCCUUUACCUGUGGUUCUCCUCCUCCUUUCUCCUUUCCCUGAGGUUCUCUUCCAUUUUUCUUUCUCUUCGGUUCUCCUCCUCCUCUUUCCUUUCUCUUCGGUUCUCCUCUUUCCCUUCUCUUCGGUUCUCCUCUUUCCUGUCCCCGCGGUUCUCCUCUUUCCUGUCCCCGCGGUUCUCCUCUUUCCUGUCCCCGCGGUUCUCCUCCUCCCUUUCCCCGCGGUUCUCCUCCUCCCUUUCCCCGCGGUUCUCCUCCUCCCUUUCCCCGCGGUUCUCCUCCUCCCUUUCCCUGCGGUUCUCCUCUUUCCUUUCCCCGCGGUUCUCCUCCUCCCUUUCCCUGCGGUUCUCCUCUUUCCUUUCCCCUCGGUUCUCCUCCUCUUUCCUUUUUGUACUCAACAGCUUCCGCGUCAUGGAUGCCCGUUGUCAUGGCACUGGUGGGAAAUAAACCACCAGCCUGGGAAACCUGUUUUUUUCCUGGUCGUAUCUUACGGGGUCUACCACGUUUCCGUUUCGGGGGUGGUGUUGGUGGGAUUUGGAGCAGUCCAACUGCUUUGGCCAGAGCUUGAAACCUGGAGAAGGAGGGACUGGGAGUUUCAGAAGACAUGUUCGACUGCUUGUCUUCUUGGUGAUGUUUUACUGGAGAGCAGCUCCUGGUUGUGGUCCAAACGUUAGGAGGGCGUUUCACAUCUCGAUCCCUGGCUCGGAGCACCCUUACUGGGUUCCCCAUUUCCCUUCCCAGCAUCUUUGUUCCUUCUGGAGGUCGGUUGGCUUCCUCACCAAGGCUGGACAAAGACUGUGUGGAGGUGUUGGAAAGGUACCGUCCUAAUCUUUCGCUCGCUAAGACAUUGUUGGUUGACAGACUGACAGAGCAGAGACUUAUUUUCACUUGUCCAUUCUCAGUCUUCGUUCCGUCGUUGAUUUUCACCCUUUCAGUCCUCACUAAAGGACUAUCUUCUAUCUUUGUAGAGACGUUGUGUUUCCUCUUUUUCUGAGGAGGCUCUGGGGUCUCACUGUCCUCUGAUUGUUCCUGCUCCACUUUCACACCCUCUGUUCUCCUCACACAGAUUCUCUUCCUGUGGUGACUCCAGGUUUCAUCCUCCUGUCUCCUCUGGGUCUUUGCAUUUGGUUUCUCAAUCCUUGGCCCCUGCUCCGGCUCCAAACCCUCCUUUAUCCUCACACGGAUUCUCUUUUUGUUACUGUGGGGCUUCGAGGUUUCAUCUCCCUCUCUUCUCUUCGCCUUUGGUUUCUCAAGCCUUCGCCCCGUAGUGGUGGUCGCGACCUUCUUCCUUUUCCUCUCCUCCUCGUCCUCUUUUCCGGUCAGUCUUGCGUUGUUGCUAAUGCUAGCCUUGUCUUGACCAUCAGUCAUCUGCUCGGAGUUGUUGUUGGAUUCCCACGGCAGACCAAGGCAUUUUUUAGAUUCACACAGAUUUCCUGGGGAGCGUGGAGAAUGUAUCAUGGAGCUCAGUGGAAAUUGUAGUCUUCUCGGAGUGUGGCAGAGCCAAGGUGGUAGCUUUGACAGCUGAGGGAUUCUAUGGAAUGGAGUUACAGGAUGCCGGAAUGGGGAUUUAAGGAAGGGUUUCGCCGGAGAUGGUGGGGGUGAGGGUUCCGGUGAAUUUAAGGGUGAGAGACAUUUUGGCAGGCAUAGCUCUUCCCAAUAUGGAGGAGGAGAUUGGGAAGGCUGGGUUUCACUUCCUCGAGACAGCAGUGAAAGGAGUUCUGGGAAACGUAGUCCUCUCCCGGGAGAGACAUCUGGUGGGCAUGCUGGGUGUUGUGGUUCAGAAGCAUCAGUUUCAGAGGGGGGGAGGAAACCAGGGGUGACAACCAUUGGUUCCUCUUCUUGUGGAACUUCCUGAUUCGUACUGGCCUGACUCAGACUCUGACUUGGAAUGGCCUCUCCAUUCACACGACUUGGCGUGGUCCCUCCAUUCACCUGACUUGGAGUAGUGUCUCCAUUCACCUGACUUGGAGUAGUGUCUCCAUUCACCUGACUUGGAGUAGUGUCUCCAUUCACCUGACUUGGAGUAGUGUCUCCAUUCACCUGACUUGGAGUAGUGUCUCCAUUCACCUGACUUGGAGUGGUCUCUCCAUUAGUUGACAGACAAUCCGCAGAGGACAGAUUACAAACAUGUUCUCUGUAUGUCGACGGAACGCCCGUCUGGGCAGAAGAACCCUUCCAGCACCCUGGAUCUGGGUCCUCUUCCCCUGUGUAAAGUAGAGAGGCCUGGCUCUGAGGAAGGGACUGGUGGUGGUGGGGAGGCCUUGGUGAAGAGCCUGAGUGGACUGGUAUGAUGCUGCUGCUGCCACCACAUCCAACCACCAGGCUCUUGGAGUUCCGGUUCUGGAGUUCCUGGUUUUGAGAGUUCUGGAACCGGAUCAGGAGUUCCUGGUGGUUCUUGGCGUUCUCAGAGGAGCACUGGAGUACACCUGAACAAUAGGAGGCCCAGUCAGAGGAGUAAUCAUUACAGGAGAAGUGGGGGUGAGGAUGAGAGAGGGGGGUGGAGGGGUGAUAGGUGGAGCAUUGGUGAGGGGUCAGAGGUUGUGGGUCCAGGUAAAGGUCAGGGGUAACGGUGCAGGAGGUUGUCGUGGUGACGAAAUGGGAGGAGGUGAUGGAGUGGAAGGCUUGAGAGAGAAAGACAGAGAGAGAGGUCAGGCUGGUGGUAGCUAAGUGUAGGUGCUAAUAGCGAUCUAUUGUAAUGGAUGACACUGUGAGAUAAGUGCAAGCAAUGCCGUGAGGAGUUGAGGAAGGGCAGGCAUUUAAAAUGUACAUGACUUAUCAUACAUAGACUAAGUCAGUGUUUCCCAACUCUGGUCCUCCAGUACCCCCAACAGCACAACUGCUUCUGCUUGUCAACUAACCAUCAAGCCUUUGACAAGUUGAAUCAGGCGUUUUUAUCUGGGGCUUCAACACAAAUGUGUACUGGAGGACCAGAGUUGGGCUGCUGGGGGUACUGGAGGACCAGAGUUGGGCUGCUGGGGUUACUGGAGGACCAGAGUUGGGCUGCUGGAAGACUGGAGUUGGGGUUACUGGAAGACUGGAGUUGGGCUGCUGGAAGACUGGAGUUGGGCUGCUGGGGGUACUGGAAGACUGGAGUUGGGGUUACUGGAAGACUGGAGUUGGGGUUACUGGAAGACUGGAGUUGGGCUGCUGGGGGUACUGGAAGACUGGAGUUGGGCUGUUGGGGUACUGGAAGACUGGAGUUGGGCUGCUGGGGAUACUGGAAGACUGGAGUUGGGCUGCUGGGGGUACUGGAAGACUGGAGUUGGGCUGCUGGGGGUACUGGAAGACUGGAGUUGGGCUGCUGGGGGUACAGGAAGACUGGAGUUGGGCUGCUGGGGAUACUGGAAGACUGGAGUUGGGCUGCUGGGGGUACUGGAAGACUGGAGUUGGGCUGCUGGGGGUACUGGAAGACUGGAGUUGGGCUGCUGGGGGUACUGGAAGACUGGAGUUGGGCUGCUGGGGGUACUGGAAGACUGGAGUUGGGCUGCUGGGGAUACUGGAAGACUGGAGUUGGGCUGCUGGGGGUACUGGAAGACUGGAGUUGGGCUGCUGGAAGACUGGAGUUGGGCUGCUGGGGGUACUGGAAGACUGGAGUUGGGCUGCUGGGGGUACUGGAAGACUGGAAUACCGGAGGCUGGGGCAAGGCGAGCUGCGGUUCAUGUGCUGGGUGUGGGGUCGGAUGGUGGGUGGAGCUGCAGUGGUUGAGGGAGGUUGACUGGGCGGUGGUGGUUUUGGACGUGGAGUGGGGGCGGGAUCGGGGUGGAGGGGAGAUGUAGAGAUCUGGUGGAGGGGUGAGGAAAGCUGUGUCGAGGGGAGAGCACCGGGGAGGGCUGGGGACUG
This 5744-nucleotide long non-coding RNA is filed under the name Salmo salar (Atlantic salmon). RNAcentral describes it as "lncRNA (ENSSSAG00000104472.1)". The record is from RNAcentral. Lineage: Eukaryota; Metazoa; Chordata; Actinopteri; Salmoniformes; Salmonidae.